RNAcentral lists this transfer RNA (67 nucleotides) under marine eukaryotic metagenome. It matches the Rfam family "tRNA". From Rfam's summary of the family: Transfer RNA (tRNA) molecules are approximately 80 nucleotides in length. Their secondary structure includes four short double-helical elements and three loops (D, anti-codon, and T loops). The record is from RNAcentral.
GGGAGUAGCUCAAUGGUAGAGCACUGGCCUUCCAAGCCAGUAAUGCGGGUUCGAUCCCCGUCUUCCG